AUACGUAGGGGGCGAGCGUUGUCCGGAAUGAUUGGGCGUAAAGGGCGCGUAGGCGGCUUUGCAAGUCAGUAGUGGAAGUCCAUUUUUCAAGGAUGGAAGUGCUACAGAAACUGCGGAGCUUGAGUGCAGGAGAGGUUAUCGGAAUUCCCGGUGUAGCGGUGAAAUGCGUAGAGAUCGGGAGGAACACCAGUGGCGAAGGCGGGUAACUGGACUGCAACUGACGCUGAGGCGCGAAAGUGUGGGGAGCAAACAGGAUUAGAUACCCUGGUAGUCCACACUGUAAACGAUGAAUGCUAGGUGUAGGAGGUAUCGACCCCUUCUGUGCCGCAGUAAACACAUUAAGUAUUCCACCUGGGGAGUACGUUCGCAAGAAUGAAACUCAAAGGAAUUGACGGGG
RNAcentral lists this ribosomal RNA (397 nucleotides) under uncultured bacterium. RNAcentral's name for it is "partial 16S ribosomal RNA". It matches the Rfam family "Bacterial small subunit ribosomal RNA", at positions 523 to 918 of the family's 1533-position model. The record is from RNAcentral.